Drosophila grimshawi is the source of this 1059-nucleotide RNA transcript. It is a transcript of the gene named uracil phosphoribosyltransferase homolog, with no coding region annotated. The record is from RefSeq and is a predicted model, not a curated record. Lineage: Eukaryota; Metazoa; Arthropoda; Insecta; Diptera; Drosophilidae. The transcript is spliced from 3 exons.
AUUACGUUAUACAUAUAUAUAGACAAAUAAAUAAUUAUGUGCACAGGUGGUUCACCCAGCAGCAACGGUUCGCAAGCCGGCGAUGGCAACGAGGCCGAGCAACAACAGCCCGCGACGGAUCAACCAGAACUUCCGCAGAGAACAGCUAUCGUUUCAUCAACUCCCGAAGAGAUUCUUGCCGAAUAUGGUGAAAAUCUCAAACUGCUCACUCUAAAUUCUCAGGUGUCCGAACUACUGACCAUUAUACGUGAUAAGAAUACCACACGGAGUGAUUUCAAGUUUUAUGCUGACAGGCUUAUCCGGCUCGUUAUCGAGGAAUCUCUGAAUCAGCUGCCCUACUCGGACUGCGACGUGGAAACACCGACGGGCGCCAUAUAUGAGGGCCUCAAGUAUCGUUCCGGCAACUGUGGCGUCUCCAUCAUUCGGUCUGGCGAGGCCAUGGAGCAGGGCUUGCGUGAUUGCUGUCGUUCCAUACGCAUUGGCAAGAUUCUAGUCGAAUCGGAUGCGAAUACGCAUGAGGCCCGAGUGGUCUACGCACGUUUUCCCGACGACAUUGGCAGUCGGCAAGUGCUGCUCAUGUAUCCCAUAAUGUCCACGGGCAACACGGUGCUGCAGGCCGUCAAUGUGCUGAGGGAGCACGGUGUUCCAGAGAAGUGCAUCAUCUUGUCGAAUCUUUUCUGCACACCCAUCGCCGCUCGGACCGUUGUCAAUGCGUUUCCCAAACUGAAGAUACUCACGUCCGAGCUACAUCCGGUGGCGCCCAAUCAUUUUGGCCAGAAAUAUUUUGGUACUGACUAGAUAGAGAUAGGUAUCCAACAGCAACAACAGCUCACAGACCAACUUGACAACGAAGCUCAGCCUCAGCUUGGGAUUGUAGACGGUGCUUGAAUUGGAGGACGGGCGAGAAGAUCCAACAACAACGACAUGCAAUUAUCUGCCCCGUUUCAAAUGUGGCUUUUAAUAUAUUCAAUUCGCAAGAAAAAAAGUGACUUGCUUAACUUAUAUAUAUAUAUCUAAAAUGUAAAUACAAACUGAAUAAAAUCGCUAUAAACGUGUAAA